This 1357-nucleotide unclassified non-coding RNA is filed under the name Hevea brasiliensis (rubber tree). Lineage: Eukaryota; Viridiplantae; Streptophyta; Magnoliopsida; Malpighiales; Euphorbiaceae. The record is from RNAcentral.
UUAAACUUUUUUUUUUUCUUGAAUUCCAGAAUCGGAUGUUAAGAUCCUUGGCGAUUCAUCGAAGAACUUUGUGUAACUUUACUAAUAAAUCAGGAAAAUCUCAUAAAAGCAAUGAGCGAUAUAAUUUCCGCCGGCGAUUCGCCGGUAACUGAAGCGAAGAGUGGCACUGAUGGCGCUAGAAUUGCAGAGGUGAAGGCGUGGCUCGCCUCUCAAUUUGAUGCGGCUGGUAAAGAUGUUCCUGAAUUCGAAUAUACUCCUCGUAGCAUUGCUCAUUUGUACAAUUUGGCCUCCGUCUCCCAGGCCAAGACACAGGCUGCCAACAUCCUCGCUAACGAUUUCCGCCAGAAAGCCAUCGAGUAUCGUGCACAAGCUGCAAGGAUUAGAGAGAUAUUGGAAAAUGUAGGGCUAGCACAAGAAAGUUUGCCCUCAAAUGUGGUUGGGUCAGCUCAAGUUUUGGCAAAUGUGGCAAACUUGUUGAAUAUAAGAGAUACUGAACUAAGUAGUUUUCUUGUAGCAAUGGGGGAUAUUUCCUUAAGAAAGACUGGAGUAGAGGAAAAGAGGGCUAAAGCACAGAAAGAGUCCAAAAUUCUUCUCGAUUACACUCGGAAGGCAAUAGCAAGGCUUACCUAUUUGAAAAGAACACUUGCACAACUUGAGGAUGAUGUAGCUCCUUGCGAAGCUCAAAUGGAAAACUGGAAGACAAAUUUGGCUGUUAUGGCAUCAAAGGAGCGGCAAUAUCUGCAACAAUAUUCCAACUACAAGGCACUUCUUAAUCGUGUGGGCUACAAGCCAGAGAUCAGCCAUGGAGUACUGGUUGAAAUGGCAGAGCAUAGAAAGGAGUUGGAGAAGAAAACAAAGCCCAUAAUGGAUACCUUGAGGAGUUAUCAGGACUUGCCACCGGAUAAAGCAUUAGCUGCUCUAGCAAUAGAGGACAAGAAAAGACAGUAUGCUGCUGCUGAGAAGUAUCUUGAAGAUGUAUUACAAUCAGCCCUUGCCAGUUCAGAUUAACAAGUGGGAUAUAGAUUAUUGUCGUAUUCUUGUAUUUGUUCAGGUACAUUUUUUCUGUUAUUGCAGAACCUAUGAAGUGAUUGUCACUGAUGCACUAAUGAUAUAUCUUUCAUUUCUGGUUUGUUGUGGGUUGUAUUUGGUCUAGAGCAACAAUUGUUUGAUUGUUAGGAGUACAAAACAAUGAAAGAUCAUAGCAUAUAUGUUUGACAAAUUCUUAAAAGACAUUUUGGUAAUGUUAUGAAAUAGGAUCAUUCUUGUUCAGAGUAAGUUCUUGAGUGAUGUGUGACUAUAAUUGCAAUGAGUUCAAGAAUUACAGCAUGCUCCUUGGCACAUGGGCUUUGGAAAUUAU